GGGUCAACUCUGGCUAGUCUCAGG
RNAcentral lists this non-coding RNA (24 nucleotides) under Arabidopsis thaliana (thale cress). The record is from RNAcentral. Lineage: Eukaryota; Viridiplantae; Streptophyta; Magnoliopsida; Brassicales; Brassicaceae.